RNAcentral lists this transfer RNA (73 nucleotides) under Pollicipes pollicipes. RNAcentral's name for it is "tRNA-Met". It matches the Rfam family "tRNA". Rfam says of the family: Transfer RNA (tRNA) molecules are approximately 80 nucleotides in length. Their secondary structure includes four short double-helical elements and three loops (D, anti-codon, and T loops). The record is from RNAcentral. Lineage: Eukaryota; Metazoa; Arthropoda; Thecostraca; Pollicipedomorpha; Pollicipedidae.
GCCUCGGUAGCGCAGUAGGCAGCGCGUCAGUCUCAUAAUCUGAAGGCCGUGAGUUCGAUCCUCACCCGGGGCG